This 299-nucleotide long non-coding RNA is filed under the name Parus major (Great Tit). RNAcentral's name for it is "lncRNA (ENSPMJG00000012795.1)". Lineage: Eukaryota; Metazoa; Chordata; Aves; Passeriformes; Paridae. The record is from RNAcentral.
AUGACUUUGUUUUCCAUUCCACAGAGAGGGGAGAUGCAUUUAAGAGAGCCCAGGAGCUGGUGGUCAUUCUACAAGGAAUGCCUGCCCUAUCAUACUCAAACAGCACAAAUGAAGUGGAAAAUAGAGAAGGAUCCUCCUUUGCCCCAGGGCAUGUUGCAGACAACCCAUCUUUGCCUCCUGAAAGGUCUUGCAGCACACCUGGAACCAGACUGAUCCCUGUUUGGAAGCCAAGCUCCACCUGUGACCUUCACCGAGCCCUCUUGGGUGCGACCUGCGGGCUUUGAUGGCUCUGAAGCGAC